AGCCGCGGUAACACCGGCGGCCCGAGUGGUGAUCGUGAUUAUUGGGUCUAAAGGGUCCGUAGCCGGUUUGGUCAGUCCUCCGGGAAAUCUGAUAGCUCAACUAUUAGGCUUUCGGGGGAUACUGCCAGACUUGGAACCGGGAGAGGUAAGAGGUACUACAGGGGUAGGAGUGAAAUCUUGUAAUCCCUGUGGGACCACCUGUGGCGAAGGCGUCUUACCAGAACGGGUUCGACGGUGAGGGACGAAAGCUGGGGGCACGAACCGGAUUAGAUACCCGGGUAGUCCCAGCCGUAAACGAUGCUCGCUAGGUGUCAGGCAUGGCGCGACCGUGUCUGGUGCCGCAGGGAAGCCGUGAAGCGAGCCACCUGGGAAGUACGGCCGCAAGGCUGAAACUUAAAGGAAUUGGCGGGGGAGCACAACAACGGGUGGAGCCCUGCGGUUUAAUUGGACUCAACGCCGGACAACUCACCGGGGGCGACAGCAAUAUGUAGGCCAAGCUGAAGACUUUGCCUGAAUCGCUGAGAAGAGGUGCAUGG
Molecule: ribosomal RNA, 536 nt
Filed under: uncultured archaeon
Lineage: Archaea
Description: bacterial SSU rRNA
Rfam family: Archaeal small subunit ribosomal RNA
Source: RNAcentral